GUUUUAAUAGUUUAAUUUAAAACACUGGUCUUGUAAAUCAGAAAUAAGAAACAAUCUUUUAAAACU
RNAcentral lists this transfer RNA (66 nucleotides) under Ceutorhynchus obstrictus. RNAcentral's name for it is "tRNA-Thr". It matches the Rfam family "tRNA". Rfam says of the family: Transfer RNA (tRNA) molecules are approximately 80 nucleotides in length. Their secondary structure includes four short double-helical elements and three loops (D, anti-codon, and T loops). Further hydrogen bonds mediate the characteristic L-shaped molecular structure. tRNAs have two regions of fundamental functional importance: the anti-codon, which is responsible for specific mRNA codon recognition, and the 3' end, to which the tRNAs corresponding amino acid is attached (by aminoacyl-tRNA synthetases). tRNAs cope with the degeneracy of the genetic code in two manners: having more than one tRNA (with a specific anti-codon) for a particular amino acid; and 'wobble' base-pairing, i.e. permitting non-standard base-pairing at the 3rd anti-codon position. Lineage: Eukaryota; Metazoa; Arthropoda; Insecta; Coleoptera; Curculionidae. The record is from RNAcentral.